GAACGUUGGCUGUGUGCNUAAGGUAUGCAAGUCGAACGAUCCCUUUCUGAUUUCUAGUAACUUCGGUUGCUAGUUUUCUAUCUGGGAUAGUGGCAAACGGGUGAGUAACACGUAGAUAACUUGCCUCGAAGUCGGGAAUAGCUCGUCGAAAGACGGGGUAAUAUCCGAUGGUCUCUAACCACUUCGUGUGUUUUAGAGUAAAGCUUUUGUGCUUCGAGAGAGGUCUGCGUCCUAUCAGCUAGUUGGUAAGGUAAUGGCUUACCAAGGCUAAGACGGGUAGCUGGUGUGAGAGCACGGUCAGCCACCAUGGAACUGAGACACGGUCCAUACUCCUACGGGAGGCAGCAAUUAGGAAUCUUGCGCAAUGGGGGCAACCCUGACGCAGCGACACAGCGUGGAGGAUGAAGGUCUUCGGAUUGUAAACUCCUUUUAUAUGGGAAGAAUAGAUGACUGUACCAUAUGAAUAAGGACCUGCUAACUACGUGCCAGAAGCAUCGGUGAUGCGUAGGGUCCGAACGUUAUCCGGAUUUAUUGGGUGUAUAGAGAUGCGUAGGCGGUUUGAUAAGUCUUGAGUUAAAGACCUCGGCUCAACCGAGGAAAAGCUUUCGAUACUAUCAGACUUGAGGCAUAGAGGGGUGAACGGAAUUCCGAGUGGAGUGGUGAAAUACGUUGAUAUUCGGAGGAACAUCAGUGGCGAAGGCGGUUCACUGGCUAUUGCCUGACGCUCAGGCUCGAAAGCGUGGGUAGCAAAACGGAUUAGAUACCCGUGUAGUCCACGCUGUAAACUAUGGAUGCUAGGUGUUCGGUACAACUGUUUUUAAUCUUCGGAUUUUAAACGGGAGUGCUGAGUGCCGCAGCUAACGCGUUAAGCAUCCCACCUGGGAAGUACGGCCGCAAGGCU
This 901-nucleotide ribosomal RNA is filed under the name uncultured candidate division WS6 bacterium. RNAcentral describes it as "bacterial SSU rRNA". It matches the Rfam family "Bacterial small subunit ribosomal RNA", at positions 31 to 895 of the family's 1533-position model. The record is from RNAcentral.